UCUCUGGAACUCUGGCUGCUUCUCUCUGGAACUCUGGCUGCUUCUCUCUGGAACUCUGGCUGCUUCUCUCUGGAACUCUGGCUGCUUCUCUCUGGAACUCUGGCUGCUUCUCUCUGGAACUCUGGCUGCUUCUCUCUGGAAGGAACUCUGGCUGCUUCUCUCUGGAACUGCUACCAGCUACCUAUUCUGCCCCACAACCCCAGCUACCUAUUCUGCCCCACAUCCCCAGCUACCUGCUAAACUACAGUACCUGUAGCUAUUCUAUCAACUACUCUGCUACAGUGACUACUCUGCCCCCUCCCUCUCGCAUCCUCAGAGUCUACUCAGUACGCUAUAGAGACUAUAUAGACUAACUCUUAUUCUCUGAUGCCUUGUGACUUUUAAGAAUGUCCUUAAAAGCAGCCAUUUUAUUUUCAGUUAGCGUGUGUUUCUGAGGGAAUGGUUUUCAGUUAGCGUGUGUUUCUGAGGGAAUGGUUUUCAGUUAGCGUGUGUUUCUGAGGGAAUGGUUUUCAGUUAGCGUGUGUUUCUGAGGGAAUGGUUUUCAGUUAGCGUGUGUUUCUGAGGGAAUGGUUUUCAGUUAGCGUGUGUUUCUGAGGGAAUGGUUUUCAGUUAGCGUGUGUUUCUGAGGGAAUGGUUUUCAGUUAGCGUGUGUUUCUGAGGGAAUGGUUUUCAGUUAGCGUGGGUUUCUGAGGGAAUGGUUUUCAGUUAGCGUGGGUUUCUGAGGGAAUGGUUUUCAGUUAGCGUGGGUUUCUGAGGGAAUGGUUUUCAGUUGGCGUGUGUUUCUGAGGGAAUGGUUUUCAGUUGGCGUGUGUUUCUGAGGGAAUGGUUUUCAGUUAGCGUGUGUUUCUGAGGGAAUGGUUUUCAGUUAGCGUGUGUUUCUGAGGGAAUGGUUUUCAGUUGGCGUGUGUUUCUGAGGGAAUGGUUUUCAGUUAGCGUGUGUUUCUGAGGGAAUGGUUUUCAGUUAGCGUGUGUUUCUGAGGGAAUGGUUUUCAGUUGGCGUGUGUUUCUGAGGGAAUGGUUUUCAGUUAGCGUGUGUUUCUGAGGGAAUGGUUUUCAGUUAGCGUGUGUUUCUGAGGGAAUGGUUUUCAGUUGGCGUGUGUUUCUGAGGGAAUGGUUUUCAUUUAGCGUGUGUUUCUGAGGGAAUGGUUUUCAGUUGGCGUGUGUUUCUGAGGGAAUGGUUUUCAUGUUUUCAGUUGGUGUGUGUUUCUGAGGGAAUGGUUUUCAUGUUUUCAGUUGGUGUGUGUUUCUGAGGGAAUGGGUUAAAAAAACAGACAAACAUAACGACUCCAUUUCUAGCAUGGUCCAUUUGCACAAACACAUUUUUCAGAUCCGCUACAGCGAUAUAACCUCUUCUGAAAACUCUUUUUUUUUUUGUUGAUCAACCUGUAUUUGGAUGUAGAUUCACAGUUUCAAAAUGUGUCUUUUUAGUGAUUGAUACAAUAUAUUCAUUCAUUUUUGGGAAAAACCUGAAAGAAAAAUGUCAGCAGCUCAGCCCAUGUUUCCUUAUUGGUGAAAUGAAAUGGUUCUGUCUUUAUCAUGAGUGUACGUCAGAUUGGAAUGAAAGUUAAGAUAUGGGGAUGAAUCCCAAAAUGGCACCCUAUUCCAUUUUAUAGUGCACUACUAUAUAGCCCUAUAGGGUUCUGGUGAAAAGUAGUGCACUAUAUAGGGAAUAGGGUGCCAUCUUGGGAUGCAUGCAUUAUAUAUGUCGCAGUUGUAUCCUCGCAACAUUGUAAAUAAAUACGUGCAGCAUCAACCGACCGUUCAUCUGUUUAUUGAAGGAGAUGUAGCUAGCUAUACUCAACCGACCGUUCAUCUGGUUAUUGAAG
Molecule: long non-coding RNA, 1826 nt
Organism: Oncorhynchus tshawytscha (Chinook salmon)
Lineage: Eukaryota; Metazoa; Chordata; Actinopteri; Salmoniformes; Salmonidae
Source: Ensembl